RNAcentral lists this ribosomal RNA (402 nucleotides) under uncultured bacterium. RNAcentral describes it as "bacterial SSU rRNA". It matches the Rfam family "Bacterial small subunit ribosomal RNA", at positions 355 to 774 of the family's 1533-position model. The record is from RNAcentral.
UGGGGAAUAUUGCGCAAUGGGGGAAACCCUGACGCAGCAACGCCGCGUGGGUGAAGAAGGCCUUCGGGUUGUAAAGCUCUGUCUUCUGGGACGAUAAUGACGGUACCAGAGGAGGAAGCCACGGCUAACUACGUGCCAGCAGCCGCGGUAAUACGUAGGUGGCAAGCGUUGUCCGGGUUUACUGGGCGUAAAGGGAGCGUAGGCGGAUAUUUAAGUCAGAUGUGAAAUACCCGAGCUGAACUUGGGUGCUGCAUGUGAAACUGGAUAUCUGGAGUGCAGGAGAGGAAAGUGGAAUUCCUAGUGUAGCAGUGAAAUGCGUAGAGAUUAGGAAGAACUCCAGUGGCGAAGGCGACUUUCUGGACUGUAACUGACGCUGAGGCUCGAAAGCGUGGGGAGCAAACA